GACGAACGCUGGCGGCGUGCUUAACACAUGCAAGUCGAACGGUAAGGCCCCUCGGGGUACACGAGUGGCGAACGGGUGAGUAACACGUGGGUGAUCUGCCCUGCACUUCGGGAUAAGCCUGGGAUACUGGGUCUAAUACCGGAUAGGACUACUGCCUGCAUGGGUGGUGGUGGAAAGCUUUUGUGGUGUGGGAUGGGCCCGCGGCCUAUCAGCUUGUUGGUGGGGUGAUGGCCUACCAAGGCGACGACGGGUAGCCGGCCUGAGAGGGUGACCGGCCACACUGGGACUGAGAUACGGCCCAGACUCCUACGGGAGGCAGCAGUGGGGAAUAUUGCACAAUGGGCGCAAGCCUGAUGCAGCGACGCCGCGUGAGGGAUGACGGCCUUCGGGUUGUAAACCUCUUUCAGCACCGACGAAGCGCAAGUGACGGUAGGUGCAGAAGAAGGACCGGCCAACUACGUGCCAGCCGCCGCGGUAA
RNAcentral lists this ribosomal RNA (478 nucleotides) under uncultured bacterium. Its description in RNAcentral is "partial 16S ribosomal RNA". It matches the Rfam family "Bacterial small subunit ribosomal RNA", at positions 28 to 523 of the family's 1533-position model. The record is from RNAcentral.